UACGUAGGGUGCAAGCGUUAUCCGGAAUUAUUGGGCGUAAAGAGCUCGUAGGCGGUUUGUCGCGUCUGCUGUGAAAACUGGGGGCUCAACCCCUCAGCCUGCAGUGGGUACGGGCAGACUAGAGUGCGGUAGGGGAGAUUGGAAUUCCUGGUGUAGCGGUGGAAUGCGCAGAUAUCAGGAGGAACACCGAUGGCGAAGGC
RNAcentral lists this ribosomal RNA (200 nucleotides) under uncultured bacterium. RNAcentral describes it as "partial 16S ribosomal RNA". It matches the Rfam family "Bacterial small subunit ribosomal RNA", at positions 524 to 722 of the family's 1533-position model. The record is from RNAcentral.